RNAcentral lists this ribosomal RNA (380 nucleotides) under uncultured Thermoplasmata archaeon. RNAcentral's name for it is "bacterial SSU rRNA". It matches the Rfam family "Archaeal small subunit ribosomal RNA", at positions 471 to 851 of the family's 1478-position model. The record is from RNAcentral. Lineage: Archaea; Methanobacteriati; Thermoplasmatota; Thermoplasmata.
UAAUACCUGCAGCCCGAGUGGUGGUCGAUAUUAUUGAGCCUAAAGCGUCCGUAGCCGGACCAGUAAAUUCUUGGGUAAAUCGGGCAGCUUAACUGUCCGACUUCCGAGGAGACUGCUGGUCUUGGGACUGGGAGAGGUCAGAGGUACUCCAGGGGUAGGGGCUAAAUCCUGUAAUCCUUGGGGGACCACCAGUGGCGAAGGCGUCUGACUAGAACGGAUCCGACGGUAAGGGACGAAACCCUGGGGCGCAAACCGGAUUAGAUACCCGGGUAGUCCAGGGCGUAAACGCUGCAGGCUUGGUGUUGGGGAUCCUACGAGGAUGUCCAGUGCCGGAGAGAAGUUGUUAAGCCUGCCGCUUGGGGAGUACGUCCGCAAGGAUG